Molecule: ribosomal RNA, 482 nt
Filed under: bacterium Ca8-7J04
Lineage: Bacteria
Description: bacterial SSU rRNA
Rfam family: Bacterial small subunit ribosomal RNA
Source: RNAcentral
CACAUGCAGUCGAGCGGCAGCACGGGAGCUUGCUCCUGGUGGCGAGCGGCGGACGGGUGAGUAAUGNCUAGGAAUCUGCCUGUUAGUGGGGGAUAACUCGGGGAAACUCGAGCUAAUACCGCAUACGUCCUACGGGAGAAAGUGGGNGACCUUCGGGCCUCACGCUAACAGAUGAGCCUAGGUCGGAUUAGCUAGUUGGUGGGGUAAAGGCCNNUACCAAGGCGACGAUCCGUAGCUGGUCUGAGAGGAUGAUCAGCCACACUGGAACUGAGACACGGUCCAGACUCCUACGGGAGGCAGCAGUUGGGAAUAUUGGACAAUGGGCGCAAGCUGAUCCAGCCAUGCCGCGUGUGUGCAAGAAGGUCUUCGGAUUGUAAAGCACNUUAAGUUGGGAGGAAGGGCGCUURGCUAAUACCCAASRGUUUUGACGUUACCAACAGAAUAAGCACCGGCUAACUUCGUGCCARCAGCCGCGGUAAUAC